AAACCCUUUUAAUUGAAUCCCGCGAGAUUGAAAAGGGACGACACAUGCAAAAAGUUUCAUGCCUUCAAAAAUUGGUAUGCAGGCCUUCACCCGUCAGGGGAAGGCCUUUUUUUU
Syntrophaceae bacterium CG2_30_58_14 is the source of this 114-nucleotide non-coding RNA. NCBI's taxonomy places the organism in Bacteria, Pseudomonadati, Thermodesulfobacteriota, Syntrophia, Syntrophales, Syntrophaceae. The record is from Rfam.